GACUCUCGGCAACGGAUAUCUCGGCUCUCGCAUCGAUGAAGAACGUAGCGAAAUGCGAUACUUGGUGUGAAUUGCAGAAUCCCGCGAACCAUCGAGUCUUUGAACGCAAGUUGCGCCCGAGGCCGCUCGGCCGAGGGCACGCCUGCCUGGGCGUCA
RNAcentral lists this ribosomal RNA (156 nucleotides) under Lindera erythrocarpa. Its description in RNAcentral is "5.8S ribosomal RNA". It matches the Rfam family "5.8S ribosomal RNA". Rfam says of the family: 5.8S ribosomal RNA (5.8S rRNA) is a component of the large subunit of the eukaryotic ribosome. It is transcribed by RNA polymerase I as part of the 45S precursor that also contains 18S and 28S rRNA. Lineage: Eukaryota; Viridiplantae; Streptophyta; Magnoliopsida; Laurales; Lauraceae. The record is from RNAcentral.